UCCGGUUUGUCACCGGCAGUCUCCCAUGAGUCCCCAACUGAAUGCUGGCAACAUGGGACGGGGGUUGCGCUCGUUGCGGGACUUAACCCAACAUCUCACGACACGAGCUGACGACAGCCAUGCACCACCUGUGAAGGUGUCCCGAAGGAAGGCCGUGUUUCCACGGCUGGCACCUACAUGUCAAACCCAGGUAAGGUUCUUCGCGUUGCGUCGAAUUAAACCACAUGCUCCGCUGCUUGUGCGGGCCCCCGUCAAUUCCUUUGAGUUUCAACCUUGCGGUCGUACUCCCCAGGCGGGGUACUUCCUGCGUUAGCGCCGGCACCCAGAGGGUCGCUCCCCCAGGCACCUAGUACCCAUCGUUUACGGCGUGGACUAC
RNAcentral lists this unclassified non-coding RNA (376 nucleotides) under uncultured Actinomycetes bacterium. Its description in RNAcentral is "uncultured actinobacterium contains 16S-23S intergenic spacer region". The record is from RNAcentral. Lineage: Bacteria; Bacillati; Actinomycetota; Actinomycetes.